AGAGUUUGAUCAUGGCUCAGAACGAACGUUAGCGGCGCGCCUAACACAUGCAAGUCGCACGAGAAAGGGCUUCGGCCCCGGUACAGUGGCGCACGGGUGAGUAACACGUGGGUAAUGUUCCCUCGGGCGGGGGAUAACCUUCCGAAAGGAGGGCUAAUACCGCAUAUGACCACAGCCCCGAAGGGGGAUGAGGUAAAAGC
RNAcentral lists this ribosomal RNA (200 nucleotides) under uncultured bacterium. RNAcentral's name for it is "partial 16S ribosomal RNA". It matches the Rfam family "Bacterial small subunit ribosomal RNA", at positions 8 to 207 of the family's 1533-position model. The record is from RNAcentral.